ACUAUUUUGGCAGAUUAGUGCAAUAAAUUUAGAAUUUAUUUAUGUAAUUGAUAUUACAAAUAGUA
Molecule: transfer RNA, 65 nt
Filed under: Zeugodacus depressus (pumpkin fruit fly)
Lineage: Eukaryota; Metazoa; Arthropoda; Insecta; Diptera; Tephritidae
Description: tRNA-Leu
Source: RNAcentral